GACGAACGCUGGCGGCGGGCUUAACACAUGCAAGUCGAACGGAAAGGCCCUGCUUUUGUGGGGUGCUCGAGUGGCGAACGGGUGAGUAACACGUGAGUAACCUGCCCUUGACUUUGGGAUAACUUCAGGAAACUGGGGCUAAUACCGGAUAGGAGCUCCUGCUGCAUGGUGGGGGUUGGAAAGUUUCGGCGGGUGGGGAUGGACUCGCGGCUUAUCAGCUUGUUGGUGGGGUAGUGGCUUACCAAGGCUUUGACGGGUAGCCGGCCUGAGAGGGUGACCGGCCACCUUGGGACUGAGAGACGGACCAGACGCGUACGGGACGCAGCAGUGGGGAAUAUUGCACAAUGGGCGGAAGCCUGAUGCAGCAACGCCGCGUGCGGGAUGACGGCCUUCGGGUUGUAAACCGCUUUCGCCUGUGACGAAGCGUGAGUGACGGUAAUGGGUAAAGAAGCACCGGCUAACUACGUG
Molecule: ribosomal RNA, 468 nt
Filed under: uncultured bacterium
Lineage: Bacteria
Description: partial 16S ribosomal RNA
Rfam family: Bacterial small subunit ribosomal RNA
Source: RNAcentral